GUGACGAAGCGACGCCGCGUGGGUGAGGAAGGCCCUCGGGUUGUAAAGCCCUGUCAGGAGUUAAGAAACAUAAGUGCGCUAAUAUCGCAUUUAUUUGACAAAGGCUCCAAAGGAAGCCACGGCUAACUCUGUGCCAGCAGCCGCGGUAAUACAGAGGUGGCAAGCGUUGUUCGGAAUUAUUGGGCGUAAAGAGCACGUAGGUGGGUUUGUAAGUCAGAUGUGAAAGCCUUCUGUUCAACGGAAGAAUUGCAUCUGAAACUGCAAGUCUUGAGUGUAGGAGGGGAGAAUGGAACUUCUGGUGGAGCGGUGAAAUGCGUAGAUAUCAGAAGGAACGCCGGCGGCGAAAGCGAUUCUCUGGCCUAUUACUGACACUCAGUGUGCGAAAGCUAGGGGAGCAAACGGGAUUAGAUACCCCGGUAGUCCUAGCCGUAAACGAU
RNAcentral lists this ribosomal RNA (437 nucleotides) under uncultured Planctomycetota bacterium. Its description in RNAcentral is "bacterial SSU rRNA". It matches the Rfam family "Bacterial small subunit ribosomal RNA", at positions 383 to 810 of the family's 1533-position model. The record is from RNAcentral. Lineage: Bacteria; Pseudomonadati; Planctomycetota.